Molecule: long non-coding RNA, 812 nt
Organism: Oreochromis aureus
Lineage: Eukaryota; Metazoa; Chordata; Actinopteri; Cichliformes; Cichlidae
Source: Ensembl
AGAUGACUUUUACCCCACUGCAUCCAGACUGCAAAUAAAUCGCGCAUGUGCAAAGGCACUGCUGGCAUGUGAUGCAGAACCGCAGAAGAAAAGAACCUACUGCAAGGAAAGAACGCUAAUGUACACCGAGCAUCUGAAGAACAACAUGCAAGUGCUCAAACACAUUGGAUCCAAAACCUGUUCCAGUUCCUCAGACACCAUCAGAGACUGUUUUGAAAGCCCUCUACUAUCAAUCUGGAUAAAAAGAAACUUUGCCAACCACUGCAAGUAUCAAGUGUUUUAAAUUUUGUUGGUUGGUUGUAUUAAGUUUGAUAAUAAUUAGAUCAGUGCCUUUUUAGUCAUUAAUUUGAUUAUUAAAUAUUAACUGUUUAGGGCAGCACGGUGGCACGGUGGUUAGCACUGUUGCUGCACAGCAAGAAGGUCCUGAGUUCAAUUCCACCAUCAGGCCGGGGUCUUUCUUUGUGGAGUUUGCAUGGUUAAUUGAUUAAUCCAAAUUGCAUAGGUGUAAAUGUGAGUGCGAAUGGUUGUCUGUCCCUGUGUGUUAGCCCUGUGACAGACUGGUGACCUGUCCAGGGUGUACCCCGCCUCUCGCCCCAUGAAAGCUGGGAUAGGCUCCAGCGCGACCCUGAAAAAGGAUAAGUGGAAGCGGAUGGAUAUUAACUGUUUAAUUUAAUCAUUGUCUCUACUGGUUUUUAUUAAUGUUUCUAGCAAAUUAUGACAAAUUUUAAAACAAUUUUAUUCUAUUCUAAUUUUUCUAUUAGCCCUAUUAUGUUUAUUACCUCAUUUGUUGGACCUUAAUCUUUUUAGACGAC